Molecule: unclassified non-coding RNA, 255 nt
Filed under: Hevea brasiliensis (rubber tree)
Lineage: Eukaryota; Viridiplantae; Streptophyta; Magnoliopsida; Malpighiales; Euphorbiaceae
Source: RNAcentral
UUAGAUCAUUCAGUCUUUGCCAAUAUGAAAAUAUUCCAAUCUGAAAACCCUAGCUCUUCUAAAAACCUUUCUUUUGUGAAUCUCCAAUGAAAUCAAACCCGAUUGAAAAACAGGAACACAGAGCGAUGAAGAUAACGAUAUUCUAACAGCUAGAGGCAAAAUCAAUCCCUAUAAACUCGAGGAAUAGAAGAGAGAAUCGUAUAAGAUAUCAGCUGGCUUUUGUGAUUAUCGAAGGGUCUCCUUUCUGGUGACUUG